AUGAGGGACCGGCUGGCCCCCGCCGUCUUCCCGCUGUACCCGGCCUGCGGGACGGCCGACGAGCCCGUGGCCGUGGGCUGCCUGGCCGUGGGCUUCAGCCCCAGCAGCCUCGACUUCUCCUGGAGGACGGCGGCCGGCGGCAACUACAGCCAGGGCGCCUGGAGCAGCCCCGCGACGCUCAGCGACGACGGCACCUACACGGCCCUGGCCGCCGUCACGCUGCCCGGCGCCCAGCUGGCCGCCCGCGCGCCCCUCACCUGCCUGGCCAGGCACCCCGAGGAGGACGCCCGGCUCACCGUCACCUGGCCCCUGCCCGAGCCCCAGCUGAACGUCUACCCGCCGAGCUGGGACGACUUCGAGGAGCCGCAGCGCAACGCCAGCGUGCUCUGCCAGCUCACCGGGCUGCUCAGCCGCGUCGCGGCCCUGCGGUGGCUCAAGGACGGCGUCUCCCAGGCCUCCGGCUUCAGCACCGCGGGGCCGGUGGCCGACGGCCGCGGCGGCUACGUGCUCAGCAGCUUCCUGGCCGUGACCCGGAGCGAGUGGAAGGCCGGCACCGUCUACUCCUGCGCCGCCGAGAGCGCCGGCUUCUCCGACCUCAGGAACGUCACCAGCUGCGGCGAUCUCCCUGACAUCGAGGUGGAGGUGAUCGCGCCCAGCUUCGCCGACACCUUCCUCACCAAGGCGGCGGCGCUGACCUGCCGCGUCUCCAACCUGCCCAGCACCGAGGGGCUGCGGGUGCGGUGGGAGCGGGCGGACGGCGCGGCGCUGGAGACGGCGCUGGGGCCCCGCGCGCCCCAGAGCAACGGGCUCUACAGCGUGGACGGCACCGCCAGCGUCUGCGCCGACGAGUGGGAGAAGGGCUACGGCUACGUCUGCACCGUGAUGCACCCCGACCUCCUCGAGCCGGCCCAGGCCCGCCUGCAGUGCCAGGACGGCGCCGGGACGCCGCCGUCCAUCUACGUGCUGCCGCCGGCCCCGGAGCAGCUGGCGCUGCAGGAGACGGCGACGGUGACCUGCCUGGUGAAGGGCUUCGACCCGCCCGACCUCUUCGUCCGCUGGCUGCGCAACGGGGAGCCGGUGGCGGCCGGCGACUACGUGACGCUGCCGCCGGCGGCCGAGGGGCAGCCGCCGCGCUCCUACUUCACCUACAGCGCCCUGAGCGUCGGCGGCGAGGACUGGGCCGCCGGCAACGUCUACACCUGCCUGGUGGGGCACGAGAAGCUGCCGCUGCAGGUGGCCCAGAAGUCGGUGGACAAGUCCUCGGCGCUCCUGGAGGCCCUGGAGGCCGGCGGCGAGCGGGAGCCCGACGACGCCGGGGCCUGGACGGCCGCCCUCACCUUCAUCCUCCUCUUCCUCCUCAGCCUGGGCUACGGGGCGGCCGCCACGGCGCUGCGCCUGGCCCCGCCCCGCCCCCGGGCCCCGCCCCCCUGCCGCUGA
Molecule: non-coding RNA, 1437 nt
Organism: Dromaius novaehollandiae (emu)
Lineage: Eukaryota; Metazoa; Chordata; Aves; Casuariiformes; Dromaiidae
Source: the annotation of a RefSeq genome assembly